RNAcentral lists this ribosomal RNA (372 nucleotides) under uncultured organism. RNAcentral describes it as "bacterial SSU rRNA". It matches the Rfam family "Bacterial small subunit ribosomal RNA", at positions 526 to 896 of the family's 1533-position model. The record is from RNAcentral.
CAGAGGGUGCAAACGUUGUUCGGAAUUACUGGGCGUAAAGCGCGUGUAGGCGGCGACGCAAGUCGGAUGUGAAAGCCCAUGGCUCAACCAUGGAAGUGCACCCGAAACUGCGUCGCUAGAGUCUCGGAGAGGAAGGUGGAAUGCUUGGUGUAGAGGUGAAAUUCGUAGAUAUCAAGCGGAACACCGGUGGCGAAGGCGGCCUUCUGGACGAGUACUGACGCUGAGACGCGAAAGCGUGGGUAGCAAACAGGAUUAGAUACCCUGGUAGUCCACGCCGUAAACGAUGAGUGCUAGGUGUCAGAGGCUUUGACCCUUCUGGUGCCGAAGCUAACGCGUUAAGCACUCCGCCUGGGGAGUACGGCCGCAAGGCUA